This 301-nucleotide ribosomal RNA is filed under the name uncultured bacterium. Its description in RNAcentral is "partial 16S ribosomal RNA". It matches the Rfam family "Bacterial small subunit ribosomal RNA", at positions 509 to 807 of the family's 1533-position model. The record is from RNAcentral.
CAGCCGCCGCGGGAAUACGUAGGUGGCAAGCGUUGUCCGGAAUUAUUGGGCGUAAAGCGUGCGCAGGCGGUGUUGUAAGACUGAUGUGAAAUCCCCGGGCUCAACCUGGGAAUGGCAGUGGAUACUGGCUCGCUAGAGUGUGUCAGAGGAUGGUGGAAUUCCCGGUGUAGCAGUGAAAUGCGUAGAGAUCGGGAGGAGCAUCAGUGGCGAAGGCGGCCAUCUGGGACAACACUGACGCUGAGGCACGAAAGCGUGGGGAGCAAACAGGAUUAGAUACCCCAGUAGUCCCUGUCUCUUAUAC